This 253-nucleotide ribosomal RNA is filed under the name uncultured bacterium. Its description in RNAcentral is "partial 16S ribosomal RNA". It matches the Rfam family "Bacterial small subunit ribosomal RNA", at positions 524 to 776 of the family's 1533-position model. The record is from RNAcentral.
UACGUAGGGUGCAAGCGUUAAUCGGAAUUACUGGGCGUAAAGCGUGCGCAGGCGGUGCUGUAAGACAGGCGUGAAAUCCCCGGGCUUAACCUGGGAAUGGCGCUUGUGACUGCAGUGCUGGAGUGCGACAGAGGGGGAUGGAAUUCCGCGUGUAGCAGUGAAAUGCGUAGAUAUGCGGAGGAACACCGAUGGCGAAGGCAAUCCCCUGGGCCUGCACUGACGCUCAUGCACGAAAGCGUGGGGAGCAAACAGG